CUUAAUUGUUUUUAAACAAAAAUCUAGUAUACUGGGUGUGUAUGAGCAAUCGCAGUUACUGAGAUGAAAACACUAAACAAACAUGUUUUUGUUUUGUUUUGUUUUUUAUUAUUGGAUUGUGCAGGCCAGUUAUGGGAUACUCCCUAAAAUUGCUUACCAAAGGCAUUUCGGGAUUGCAUAUUUGGUGCUAAACAGUGCAAGAUGUGUCAGGAAGUAAAUGUGCAUUUUUUUUGUUAUAGUCCUACCACAUCUGUUACUAAGGUGACAUUUUUUUGGUAGGGGGUGGAAAGGAGGAGGGGACUUUUCUUUGACAUUUCUUGGUCACAAUUACUGUUUCCGCAGACUACGUUAGCUGCAGAUAUGUCAGGUCACAAAUAGUCGUGUAACCAGUUAUAUGACUAUCUCAUCUUUCUAAACAAGUGAUGUUUUUUGGGUGUGUGGGCUUUUCUGAGAAAUUUUAGGUG
Molecule: non-coding RNA, 464 nt
Organism: Pelobates cultripes (western spadefoot toad)
Lineage: Eukaryota; Metazoa; Chordata; Amphibia; Anura; Pelobatidae
Source: the annotation of a GenBank genome assembly